RNAcentral lists this ribosomal RNA (1688 nucleotides) under Salmonella enterica subsp. enterica serovar Agona. RNAcentral describes it as "bacterial LSU rRNA". It matches the Rfam family "Bacterial large subunit ribosomal RNA", at positions 1223 to 2888 of the family's 2925-position model. Lineage: Bacteria; Pseudomonadati; Pseudomonadota; Gammaproteobacteria; Enterobacterales; Enterobacteriaceae. The record is from RNAcentral.
GUUGGGUAGGGGAGCGUUCUGUAAGCCUGCGAAGGUGGCCUGUGAGGGUUGCUGGAGGUAUCAGAAGUGCGAAUGCUGACAUAAGUAACGAUAAAGCGGGUGAAAAGCCCGCUCGCCGGAAGACCAAGGGUUCCUGUCCAACGUUAAUCGGGGCAGGGUGAGUCGACCCCUAAGGCGAGGCCGAAAGGCGUAGUCGAUGGGAAACGGGUUAAUAUUCCCGUACUUGGUGUUACUGCGAAGGGGGGACGGAGAAGGCUAUGUUGGCCGGGCGACGGUUGUCCCGGUUUAAGCGUGUAGGUGUGUGUUCCAGGUAAAUCCGGUUCACUUUAACACUGAGGCGUGACGACGAGGCACUACGGUGCUGAAGCAACAAAUGCCCUGCUUCCAGGAAAAGCCUCUAAGCAUCAGGUAACAUCAAAUCGUACCCCAAACCGACACAGGUGGUCAGGUAGAGAAUACCAAGGCGCUUGAGAGAACUCGGGUGAAGGAACUAGGCAAAAUGGUGCCGUAACUUCGGGAGAAGGCACGCUGACACGUAGGUGAAGUGAUUUACUCAUGGAGCUGAAGUCAGUCGAAGAUACCAGCUGGCUGCAACUGUUUAUUAAAAACACAGCACUGUGCAAACACGAAAGUGGACGUAUACGGUGUGACGCCUGCCCGGUGCCGGAAGGUUAAUUGAUGGGGUCAGCGCAAGCGAAGCUCCUGAUCGAAGCCCCGGUAAACGGCGGCCGUAACUAUAACGGUCCUAAGGUAGCGAAAUUCCUUGUCGGGUAAGUUCCGACCUGCACGAAUGGCGUAAUGAUGGCCAGGCUGUCUCCACCCGAGACUCAGUGAAAUUGAACUCGCUGUGAAGAUGCAGUGUACCCGCGGCAAGACGGAAAGACCCCGUGAACCUUUACUAUAGCUUGACACUGAACAUUGAGCCUUGAUGUGUAGGAUAGGUGGGAGGCUUUGAAGUGUGGACGCCAGUCUGCAUGGAGCCGACCUUGAAAUACCACCCUUUAAUGUUUGAUGUUCUAACGUGGACCCGUAAUCCGGGUUGCGGACAGUGUCUGGUGGGUAGUUUGACUGGGGCGGUCUCCUCCUAAAGAGUAACGGAGGAGCACGAAGGUUGGCUAAUCCUGGUCGGACAUCAGGAGGUUAGUGCAAUGGCAUAAGCCAGCUUGACUGCGAGCGUGACGGCGCGAGCAGGUGCGAAAGCAGGUCAUAGUGAUCCGGUGGUUCUGAAUGGAAGGGCCAUCGCUCAACGGAUAAAAGGUACUCCGGGGAUAACAGGCUGAUACCGCCCAAGAGUUCAUAUCGACGGCGGUGUUUGGCACCUCGAUGUCGGCUCAUCACAUCCUGGGGCUGAAGUAGGUCCCAAGGGUAUGGCUGUUCGCCAUUUAAAGUGGUACGCGAGCUGGGUUUAGAACGUCGUGAGACAGUUCGGUCCCUAUCUGCCGUGGGCGCUGGAGAACUGAGGGGGGCUGCUCCUAGUACGAGAGGACCGGAGUGGACGCAUCACUGGUGUUCGGGUUGUCAUGCCAAUGGCACUGCCCGGUAGCUAAAUGCGGAAGAGAUAAGUGCUGAAAGCAUCUAAGCACGAAACUUGCCCCGAGAUGAGUUCUCCCUGAGACUUAGAGUCUCCUGAAGGAACGUUGAAGACGACGACGUUGAUAGGCCGGGUGUGUAAGCGCAGCGAUGCGUUG